Molecule: ribosomal RNA, 253 nt
Filed under: uncultured bacterium
Lineage: Bacteria
Description: partial 16S ribosomal RNA
Rfam family: Bacterial small subunit ribosomal RNA
Source: RNAcentral
UACAGAGGGUGCGAGCGUUAAUCGGAAUUACUGGGCGUAAAGCGCACGUAGGCGGCUUGGUAUGUCGGGUGUGAAAUCCCCGGGCUCAACCUGGGAACUGCAUCCGAAACUGCCUUGCUCGAGUAUGGGAGAGGGAAGUGGAAUUUCCGGUGUAGCGGUGAAAUGCGCAGAUAUCAGGAGGAACACCGGUGGCGAAGGCGGGUCUCUGGGCCGAUACUGACGCUGAGGAGCGAAAGCGUGGGGAGCGAACAGG